This 484-nucleotide ribosomal RNA is filed under the name uncultured bacterium. RNAcentral describes it as "bacterial SSU rRNA". It matches the Rfam family "Bacterial small subunit ribosomal RNA", at positions 73 to 554 of the family's 1533-position model. The record is from RNAcentral.
UAACACUUCGGUGUUGAUGGCGACCGGCGCACGGGUGCGUAACACGUAUAGAACCUACCCAUAACAGGGGGAUAGCCCAGAGAAAUUUGGAUUAAUACCCCAUAGUGUAUUAAUGAGGCAUCUCAUUUUUAUUAAAGAUUUAUCGGUUAUGGAUGGCUAUGCGUCCUAUUAGUUUGUUGGUGAGGUAAUGGCUCACCAAGGCUACGAUAGGUAGGGGUCCUGAGAGGAAUGUCCCCCACACUGGUACUGAGACACGGACCAGACUCCUACGGGAGGCAGCAGUGAGGAAUAUUGGACAAUGGGCGCAAGCCUGAUCCAGCCAUGCCGCGUGCAGGAAGAAGGCUUUCUAGUUGUAAACUGCUUUUAUUCACGAGGAAUAUGUCCCUUGCGAGGGAUUUUGACGUUAGUGUUUGAAUAAGCACCGGCUAACUCCGUGCCAGCAGCCGCGGUAAUACGGAGGGUGCAAGCGUUAUCCCGGAAUCAU